RNAcentral lists this ribosomal RNA (492 nucleotides) under uncultured bacterium. Its description in RNAcentral is "bacterial SSU rRNA". It matches the Rfam family "Bacterial small subunit ribosomal RNA", at positions 32 to 507 of the family's 1533-position model. The record is from RNAcentral.
AAUCAACGCUGGCGGCGUGCCUAACACAUGCAAGUCGAACGCGAAAAGGGGCAACCCUGAGUAGAGUGGCGUCCGGGUGAGUAACACGUGGAUAAUCUACCUGCGGGUGGGGAAUAACUUUCCGAAGGGGAGCUAAUACCGCAUAACACUAAGUGGUGGCAUCACCAAAUAGUCAAAGUGGGGGAGUCGCAAGACCUCACGCCUGUAGAGGAGUCCGCGGCCGAUUAGCUAGUUGGUGAGGUAACAGCUCACCAAGGCGACUAUCGGUAGCCGGCCUGAGAGGGCGAACGGCCACACUGGCACUGAAAACGGGCCAGACUCCUACGGGAGGCAGCAGUGGGGAAUUUUGGGCAAUGGCCGAAAGGCUGACCCAGCAACGCCGCGUGAAGGAUGAAAUCCUUCGGGAUGUAAACUUCGCAAGUCAAGGAAGAAUAGAUGGAAGCUAAUACCUUCUAGAUGACGGUACUUGACGUAAGCCCGGCUAACUCCGUG